UUGACCUCGGAUCAGGUAGGGAUACCCGCUGAACUUAAGCAUAUCAAUAAGCGGAGGAAAAGAAACCAACCGGGAUUGCCCCAGUAACGGCGAGUGAAGCGGCAAGAGCUCAAAUUUGAAAUCUGGCCCCUCCGGGGUCCGAGUUGUAAUUUGCAGAGGAUGCUUCGGGUGCGGCCCCUGUCUAAGUGCCCUGGAACGGGCCGUCAGAGAGGGUGAGAAUCCCGUCUUGGGCAGGGUGCCCGUGCCCGUGUGAAGCUCCUUCGACGAGUCGAGUUGUUUGGGAAUGCAGCUCUAAAUGGGUGGUAAAUUUCAUCUAAAGCUAAAUACCGGCCGGAGACCGAUAGCGCACAAGUAGAGUGAUCGAAAGAUGAAAAGCACUUUGAAAAGAGAGUUAAACAGCACGUGAAAUUGUUGAAAGGGAAGCGCUUGCGACCAGACUCGGCCUCGGGGUUCAGCCAGCACUCGUGCUGGUGUACUUCCCCGGGGGCGGGCCAGCGUCGGUUUGGGCGGCCGGUCAAAGGCCCCAGGAAUGUAUCGUCCUCCGGGACGCCUUAUAGCCUGGGGUGCAAUGCGGCCAGCCUGGACCGAGGAACGCGCUUCGGCACGGACGCUGGCGUAAUGGUCGCAAACGACC
This 634-nucleotide ribosomal RNA is filed under the name Aspergillus subversicolor. RNAcentral's name for it is "eukaryotic LSU rRNA". It matches the Rfam family "Eukaryotic large subunit ribosomal RNA", at positions 1 to 649 of the family's 3401-position model. Lineage: Eukaryota; Fungi; Ascomycota; Eurotiomycetes; Eurotiales; Aspergillaceae. The record is from RNAcentral.